GAUGAACGCUAGCGGCAGGCCUAAUACAUGCAAGUCGAACGGUGUCUUCGGACAUAGUGGCGCACGGGUGCGUAACACGUAUGCAACCUACCUUACAUUGGGGGAUAGCCUUUCGAAAGGGAGAUUAAUACCGCAUAAGACAGUAGUCUGGCAUCAGACAGCUGUUAAAGAUUUAUCGAUGUAAGCUGGGCAUGCGUCCAAUUAGUUAGUUGGCGGGGUAAAGGCUCACCAAGACGAUGAUUGGUAGGGG
RNAcentral lists this ribosomal RNA (250 nucleotides) under uncultured bacterium. RNAcentral's name for it is "partial 16S ribosomal RNA". It matches the Rfam family "Bacterial small subunit ribosomal RNA", at positions 28 to 289 of the family's 1533-position model. The record is from RNAcentral.